UGGGGAAUUUUCGCAAUGGGGGAAACCCUGACGAAGCAACGCCGCGUGGAGGAUGAAGGCCUUCGGGUCGUAAACUCCUGUCGACCGGGACGAACGCUAUUGGGCCCAAUACGCCCGAUAGUCGACUGUACCGGUGGAGGAAGCCACGGCUAACUCUGUGCCAGCAGCCGCGGUAAUACAGAGGUGGCAAGCGUUGUUCGGAAUUACUGGGCGUAAAGGGCGCGUAGGCGGUCCUGUCAGUCCCUUGUGAAAUCCCCCGGCUCAACUGGGGAACUGCAAGGGAUACAGCAGGGCUUGAGUUCGGGAGAGGGAAGCGGAAUUCCGGGUGUAGCGGUGAAAUGCGUAGAUAUCAGGAGGAAUACCGGUGGCGAAAGCGACUCUCUGGACGGCAACUGACGCUGAGGCACGAAAGCGUGGGGAGCAAACAGGAUUAGAUACCCACGUAGUCCCUGAGCGGGCUGGCAAGGCGCAU
This 472-nucleotide ribosomal RNA is filed under the name uncultured bacterium. RNAcentral's name for it is "bacterial SSU rRNA". It matches the Rfam family "Bacterial small subunit ribosomal RNA", at positions 355 to 825 of the family's 1533-position model. The record is from RNAcentral.